GUUAACGGUGAUGAGCCUUUAACCUGUAACCAUUUGUGGAUUUGAUCACAGAUGUUUAAGAACAUCAAAGAGACUGAGUUUGA
This is a non-coding RNA of Morus notabilis, 83 nucleotides long. The record is from Rfam. NCBI's taxonomy places the organism in Eukaryota, Viridiplantae, Streptophyta, Magnoliopsida, Rosales, Moraceae.